CCAACCUUAAAUAGAAACAGCCUGUAUUCUUCGAUUAUGACUGCAAAAUAACGAAGGAAGUAUUGUUUAGCGUUUUGCCAAACGUUAAAAAGUGCGGUUACAAUAUUGUUGCCAUUGUAAGCGAUUUGGGUGGAUCAAAUAGAGGCUUAUAUAGUGAUCUUGAAAUUAAUGCGGAGAAACCUUGGUACAUUCACUAAACAAUUAUUUAAAUUAUGAUAUACUUUAAAUUGUGGUCUCUUUUUUCUAUUGCUGGUUUUCACACAACGGAGACAGGAUUGUGGUUUUUGCUGAUGUCCCCCACUUAAUAAAACUACAAAGAAAUCAUUUUUUUGGAUAAGGGCUUUACUAUCAAUGGAAAAUUUGUUAGAAAAGACAUAAUUGUGAAGCUGCUCUCGCUAACGUCCAACGAGCUGUCCAUCACGCACAAAAUUUCCCUGAAACAUUUGUGUGUGACAGGAGCAGAAAGGCAAAAGGUUAAACUAGCCACAAAAUUGUUCUCCCACACAAAUGCUCAAGCAAUAACUCGAGCGGCUAGUUUAGGUCUACUACAUAACGAAAAUUAGGAGGAAUGCCAUCGACUUUUCAAAAUUACAAAUGACUGGUUUGACGUAAUGAAUGUCAGGGUGCCCAAAGAUGGAGUGAGGGAACGCUUGCACGCCUACGGUUUGGCUUUGAACAAACAAAAUAAUGUAGUGGAACAGAUGACGGAGCUGAUUUCAUCAAUGAGAGUCAUUGGUAAAAAAGGUUUGCUUCCAUUCCAAAAGGGUAUACUCCAAAGCAAUAAUGCUUUGAAAUUGCUGCUAGAUGACUUAUGACAAGAGCACAAAAUUGAUUACGUUUUGACCUAUCGAUUGAACCAGGACGUUUUGGAAAAUUUUUUUGGCGUAAUCAGGUCAAAAGGCGGUCUUCACGAUCACCCUCACAGGCAGGAGUUCAAAUAUAGGCUGCGUUCCUAUAUACUUGGUCACAGCGAAGGAGCGAUCACAGAAGAAGGCAAAGUUGAAGUCGACAACACACCAGAUUUGGAAGGAAAUUACUUAUCUC
Molecule: long non-coding RNA, 1044 nt
Organism: Bactrocera dorsalis (oriental fruit fly)
Lineage: Eukaryota; Metazoa; Arthropoda; Insecta; Diptera; Tephritidae
Exons: 3
Source: RefSeq, a predicted model, not a curated record